GAUGAACGCUGGCGGCGUGCCUAAUACAUGCAAGUCGAGCGAACAGAUAAGGAGCUUGCUCCUUUGACGUUAGCGGCGGACGGGUGAGUAACACGUGGAUAACCUACCUAUAAGACUGGGAUAACUUCGGGAAACCGGAGCUAAUACCGGAUAACAUAUUGAACCGCAUGGUUCAAUAGUGAAAGGCGGCUUUGCUGUCACUUAUAGAUGGAUCCGCGCCGUAUUAGCUAGUUGGUAAGGUAACGGCUUACCAAGGCAACGAUACGUAGCCGACCUGAGAGGGUGAUCGGCCACACUGGAACUGAGACACGGUCCAGACUCCUACGGGAGGCAGAAGUAGGGAAUCUUCCGCAAUGGGCGAAAGACUGACGGAGCAACGCCGCGUGAGUGAUGAAGGGCUUCGGAUCGUAAAACUCUGUUAUCAGGGAAGAACAAAUGUGUAAGUAACUGUGCACAUCUUGACGGUACCUGAUCAGAAAGCCACGGCUAACUACGUG
This 497-nucleotide ribosomal RNA is filed under the name uncultured bacterium. Its description in RNAcentral is "partial 16S ribosomal RNA". It matches the Rfam family "Bacterial small subunit ribosomal RNA", at positions 28 to 507 of the family's 1533-position model. The record is from RNAcentral.